AGAGAGAGACAUGCGCGCAUAUCAAUAAGCGGAGGAAAAGAAACUAACUAGGAUUCCCUCAGUAACGGCGAGUGAAGCGGGAAGAGCUCAAAUUUGAAAUCUUCAAGGUUCUACCUUGACGAAUUGUAGUUUAAAGAAGUGUUUUCUGUUGGAGUUUUGGUAAAAGUUCUUUGGAAUAGGACAUCAUAGAGGGUGAGAAUCCCGUAUUUGACCAUUAUUUCCAGCUUUGUGAUACACUUUCAAAGAGUCGGAUUGUUUGGGAAUGCAGUCCAAAAUGGGUGGUAAAUUUCAUCUAAAGCUAAAUACUGGCGAGAGACCGAUAGCGAACAAGUACCGUGAGGGAAAGAUGAAAAGAACUUUGAAAAGAGAGUUAAACAGUACGUGAAAUUGUCAAAAGGGAAGCGUUUGACACCAGUGUUGUUUUUCUGAAAAGUCAAUUAAAGAACUGUUUAUGCUAAGCUGUUUAGACUUUAUCAGCUAUCUGUUUAGUUUUGAGCUUUUCUUUAAUGCACUUUUCAGUUAACAAGUCAACAUCAAUUUCUUUUGCUGUAAAAAAGCUUGAGGAAGGUGGCUUGAGAUUCGUCUUAAGUGUUUAUAGCCUCUUGCCUAUGCAGUCGGAGAGAUUGAGGUCUGCAGCGUAGAUCCUUCGGGGUUAGAUACAUUUGUGCUAAGUUAUAGCCUUUCAUAGACAACUUGUUGACUAUGAUCAGUCAUGUAGCUUACUCGCUUAUGCUACUUUACCUACGCUUAGGAUGUUGAUGUGAUACUGCGAGC
Molecule: ribosomal RNA, 774 nt
Filed under: uncultured Neocallimastigales
Lineage: Eukaryota; Fungi; Neocallimastigomycota; Neocallimastigomycetes; Neocallimastigales
Description: partial large subunit ribosomal RNA
Rfam family: Eukaryotic large subunit ribosomal RNA
Source: RNAcentral